CCCAGUCACUCACUCGAGGGGCGGGGGCAGCCAGACACUCCCCCGCCGCCAGUCCCUCCCCGCGCCCGGCUCCCGCGCGCGUCCUGCUCCCCUCCUCCGGGGAGGGGCUUGCGGAGGCCGCCCGGGCGCGGCGCACUGGGGAGGCAGGGCUGGGGCGCGGGCUCGGGGGCCGCCGGAAUGCAGGAGCGAUAUCUGUGUGUGUGUGUGUGUGUGUGUGUGCGUGUGCGUGUGCGUGUGCAUGUGCAUGUGCGUGUGUGUGUGUGUUUGCGCGCUCGCGCGGGGAGGCCAACUGGAGAGGAGACUCGGACUGCAAAGCUGUGUCCCUGUGGCCUUCCUGGGCCUGUCAUUUGGGUGGUAACGUGGGAGCCGAGGGACUGCUCGCGAGCCCGCGCGGGCGCAGCUCUGCGGGAGAUCCGGGUCCAGCGCGUGGCUGUGCCUGGUGGCAGCAGUCGGGGGAAGAAGGCUGGGCAUCCUCGGCCUGCGCGCGGCUCCUCCCCUCCCAGGCUACGCUGGACCUGCGGGCGCAGCCAGCCUCCCCGGCCCCGCCAACCGACCGCCUCCACCCUGCCCCGAAGCUGCGGCGCCUGCAUGAUGAACGAAGCACCGGCGACUGGGUGGACGCUUCGCUGGAAGGCAAGACCGGAGCCCCGCGCCCUUCUCCCCUUGCUGGCCUCCUAGGACCCAAGGGCUGGGGCCGCGCCUGCUGGGGGAUGGUUUGGGGUCUAAAAAUAUCACGGUCCACCACUUCAUGCGUCCAGUUCUUUGCGGCAUCUCACCGAAGGUCAACCAAUUUCCUACUCUCUGGAAAAGCGUGUUUUUCUCCUCUUCCCGGCACUCUGGGUGUUUGAUGUGAGCCCUGAAUUGAUCUCCCUGCACUGAUAGCCUUGGAUGUCUUUUGUGCUGCUUCCCCCCCGCGCUUCACUGCUCCUUGAUUGCCUUAGACACGCGAGGAAUGUCAGGCCCCCAGAGUGAGGACACCCAAGAAAACAAUAGAGGCAAAAGGUCCUCCGAGGACCUCGCGGAUUACUCACAAACCCAGUUUCCCACGUUUGGCCAAGAUGAAGUUGGAAAGUGGAAAGAGACACAGAGCAGUGGCAGUGAUGAGACACUUAAUUGAAAAGCGAAUUCAUAAUUCAGCUUAAUGAAAUGACUUAGUAAUCACCCAUUAAUGUCUAGGAAAUUAGCUUUUUUUUUUUUAAAUGGUCUUCCCGUUUUCCAUCUUUUUAUCAGCCUGAAGGGCUAGUGUCACAUUGUUCCUGAAAUUAAACUUGGAUAUUGUUUGUUAUUAUUAUACAUAUUCUAGUUUAUUUUUUCUUUGUAACCCGAAUUCUUUGUAGUGUAGCCACUUGAAAAGGAGUGGUUAAGAGGGGAGAGUAGACACAUUUGGGUUUCAAUCAGGGGCUUGCAGCCACCAUCCCUGUUCCCAUUGGUAACUUGUUUGAUAUCUUUCCCUCUUUUUCCUCAUCUGUAAGAUGGGAUUGAUAACUAGUAGAUCCUUCUUCACAAGGUUGUUGUGAAAGUAAAUGAAAGAUAAAAUGAGGUGGCAGUGAUGUAAGGCACUUUGCAUUGUGCCUGACUCAUGGUAAGACAUCAGUAAAUAGAAUUUUGAAAUAUUAUUAUAUUAUUAAUGAUAAUUAUUGUUAUUUCAAAGAUACAUUUGAACCUCAAAUUUGGAGUACUUUUUUUCCACCCCCCUCACCAUGGUCCCUCUUAAAGUAGAAGGGGAAUUCCUGCUGAAUUUAUCCAAAUACAGUCAACCUCUUCCUGGGGUUUGUAGGCCAUGCCUGAAAACUUCUCGUGUGAUGAAAUAAAUAAUGUGUGUGCGCAUGCCUCUCUGUCUGU
Molecule: long non-coding RNA, 1842 nt
Filed under: Marmota monax (woodchuck)
Lineage: Eukaryota; Metazoa; Chordata; Mammalia; Rodentia; Sciuridae
Source: RNAcentral